UAAAUGACUCUCGGCAACGGAUAUCUCGGCUCUUGCAUCGAUGAAGAACGUAGCGAAAUGCGAUACUUGGUGUGAAUUGCAGAAUCCCGUGAACCAUCGAGUCUUUGAACGCAAGUUGCGCUUGAAGCCAUUAGGCUGAAGGCACGUCUGCCUGGGCGUCACGC
Molecule: ribosomal RNA, 164 nt
Filed under: Chimaphila monticola
Lineage: Eukaryota; Viridiplantae; Streptophyta; Magnoliopsida; Ericales; Ericaceae
Description: 5.8S ribosomal RNA
Rfam family: 5.8S ribosomal RNA
About the family: 5.8S ribosomal RNA (5.8S rRNA) is a component of the large subunit of the eukaryotic ribosome. It is transcribed by RNA polymerase I as part of the 45S precursor that also contains 18S and 28S rRNA.
Source: RNAcentral